GUUGUCUUAUGUGUCUAGCCUUAUGAAUAUUUGGUUUCAAGGAAUGAGAAACAACUCAAGUCAAACUGAACAAAAAUAGAAGGCACCAAAUACAGAGCAUAGAUGAUACUGCCAAACAUGAAGAAGAUGCUUCAGUUUUCAGGAAUUUAAUCAAAGGUGAAACCAUUAUCCCACUGUUAAUCAUUGCAACAAGCUGCCUUGCUGAAGUAAAAUUACUGGGAGUCCUGGACCAUUCUUCUGACGGACAGCUUCCCACAGUGGCAGAGAAGCAGCCAUCUGAACGUUUUUCUUUGAUGUCUCCACAUCUGGGUAAGUUCUCUGGUGGCUUGGGGACUCUGAGGUCUCCUCUGGAGCAAUGUGGUUCAUCCAUUCCCUUCUGUAGGAUCCCCUUCCCUGCCUCGCCCUGUUUUCCAUACCUAUUGGGGCAAACACAAUUUGGCCAGGUGGAUAGGCUCUAAUUUUGUAAAUAACUUGGAUCCAUCUGUCUUGUAUGUAGGUCUCUUCCUUUGUGUGAUGCGAGUUGUAUCCAGCAUGCUAUCAAAUUGGCUUAUAAAUAAAAGAGUGCUCAUGAAUUAAACAAGAAUAGGCUAAACUUGAGAGUUGGAAGAGAAUGUCGUGUCUUCUAAAAUUUAACUUCAAGAUUUUUACCUAGGUAAAUCACUGAUGUUUUUAGGCUUUAGAAUAUUUUUAAAAGCUUUGAAAGGGUAGCUUUGUGUAUGGUUUAAAUUCUUAAAAUUAUAGAAUGGUUCUCAUCUGUAAAAUCCCAGUAUUUGAUGGGCAGUUCAGAAUUUUCUGCUUCCUAAGUUUAUAUGAAAUGUGCCAGGGAAGAUGUAUUCUUAAUUGGAAAAAAGAAUAAUAUUUUUUCCAAUCUGGAACUUAUUAAAAGGCUGGUUGAACAUGUGAAGGAACAAGUGAAUAAAAAAGAAAGAUAUGAGGAGAGUUAUGGAUAGAAGAUACGUUUUUUUUGUGUGUGGGGAGGGAUAUAAAGAAAGAGUGAUUUUGCAUGAGGAGGGAUCUUGUGUGGUAGAUUCUUUUCCUAGAAUAAAGUGACAGGUUAUUUGGGAGAGAGGUGGCAUAGGAUAGAUCAGAGAGUCCAAGCAUUGCAAAAGAGUGAUGGGGUUUGUAAAGGGAAAGUUGUCAGGGGGAUUUUGCAUACGAUUAAGCUGGCUGUGAAGAAAAAUUGUGGUAGACUUUCUAGAAAAUAAUCUACAUAUUGGAACUGGGGUUUCUUAAGGUAUUUGAUUUGCAUUACAGGAAAUUUGUCUUUUAAUGCUAUAACUGGUUUCUUUUAAAACUUCUCAGAUUCAUGUCAAAGAUGUUCAACUGUUACUGUGACUCACUCCCUUUGAGAAGACCUGAGAUAAUAACUUUGCUUUAGGUUUUUAGUCAGCUCCUAUAAUUUUUUCUCCUCCAGUUCUAACUGUUGUUGUGACCUCAUGCUAAAAUAUUGUAUCACAGAGGUCUACAAAAAGUGUGUGGUUAAGCCAGUCAAUUAUGACAUGCUUAACCAAUAUAACUUGAUUACAUACUCUUGGCUCUUCUUUUUUUUUUAACUUUUAUUUUAGGUUUGAGUGUACAUGUGAAGGUUUGUUACAUAGGUAAACUUGUG
Molecule: long non-coding RNA, 1609 nt
Organism: Cercocebus atys (sooty mangabey)
Lineage: Eukaryota; Metazoa; Chordata; Mammalia; Primates; Cercopithecidae
Exons: 3
Source: RefSeq, a predicted model, not a curated record